Molecule: transfer RNA, 72 nt
Filed under: Xanthomonas citri
Lineage: Bacteria; Pseudomonadati; Pseudomonadota; Gammaproteobacteria; Lysobacterales; Lysobacteraceae
Also listed under: 4 other names
Description: tRNA-Asn
Source: RNAcentral
GCUGAUUCGCAAGCUUGGUAGCCCUAACUGUUAAUCAGGGGGUCGUUGGUUCGAGUCCAACUUCGGGCGCCA